UGAACAGAGGUUAUCGGUUUUAUUUGCCUGGUGUGUACAGGUGGAUAUAAAGGGGCAGUGUGGAGUGGUACAGCUCCCUGAGUUCACGGUAAUCCAGAGAAGAAUGACGUCUCUCGUGCUCCUUCUGCUGGUGGCUGUUGCCAUAAACUCUGUCACGUGUGAUCCCCUUCCUGAGGAUGGUGAUGCAAACAUUCACCAAGAGUUUGAGAAGUGGAAAUUGCAACAUGAGAAGACCUACCCGUCCACUGAGGAGGAAACCAAGCGUAAGGAGCUCUGGUUGGCAACAAGAAAGAGGGUGAUGGAACACAACCUGAAGGCAGCCGAGGGAUUGGAGAACUACACCACGACAAUGGGGAAUUAUGCUGAUUUGAGUAUUGAGGAUGUCUCACCGACGGAGGAAGAGCUGGACAAAGAGUUUGCGAUGUGGAAAACAAAACAUGGUAAAACCUAUAACUCAACUGAGGAGGAAGCCAAGCGUAGGAACAUCUGGUUCGCUACAAGGACAAGAGUGAUGGAACACAACCGGAAAGCAGCAAAUGGGUUGGCAACCUGGAUCAUGGGGCUCAAUCAUUUUUCUGACUUGACAUCCGAGGAGAGGCCUAGGCGAGGUUUUUACCCAAGGCCUCGGCCUACAAAAGAAGAUUUGGAUGAAGAAUUUGAAAGGUGGAAACUUAGACAUGGGAAGACUUAUAACUCGACCGAGGAAGAAGCCAAGCGUAAGGACAUCUGGUUAGCGACAAGGAGAAGAGUGAUGGAACACAACAAGAAAGCAGCGAAUGGUUCAGUUAGCUGGACCAUGGGGCUCAAUCAAUUUUCUGACAUGACCCAUGAAGAGAUUCCUAAGGGAGGACUUUUGCCACUGCCUCAACCUACAGAAGAAGAUGUGGACAAAGAGUUUGAAACGUGGAAAGAAAAACAUGGAAAGACCUAUGACUCCUCCGAGGAAGAAGCCAAGCGUAAGAACAUCUGGUUAGCUACAAGGAGAAGAGUGAUGGAACACAACCAGAAAGCAGCGAAUGGCUCAGUUAGUUGGACCAUGGGGCUCAAUAGCUUUUCUGACUUGCUCCAUUGAAUCUCUCUCGUUGCUUCUUCUCUCAGACCCAUGAGGAGAUUCCUAAGGGAGUACUUUUGCCAACGUUGUGAUGCCGUGAGUCCCCGUGUCACUUGCAAUAAACACAAAGUCCGCUCAUCACAUGGCUGUGUCUGUUUUUGCCUCUGUUUGGAACGCAUUUGGGAGUCGAUUAACAUAAUUAUUGUAUAUCCCAACACAGCUGUAUCCCUAAUAAAGCAGAGGAGUGCAUGCAG
Molecule: RNA transcript, 1305 nt
Organism: Esox lucius (northern pike)
Lineage: Eukaryota; Metazoa; Chordata; Actinopteri; Esociformes; Esocidae
Exons: 14
Source: RefSeq, a predicted model, not a curated record